GGACUACCCGGGUUUCUAAUCCUGUUUGAUCCCCACGCUUUCGUGCCUCAGCGUCAAUGACUGUUUAGCUAGCUGCCUUCGCAAUCGGUGUUCUAUGUCAUAUCUAUGCAUUUCACCGCUACAUGACAUAUUCCGCCAACCUCAACAGUAUUCAAGACCUAUAGUAUCAAUGGCAGUUUCCGGGUUGAGCCCGGAGAUUUCACCACUGACUUACAGGCCCGCCUACACACCCUUUAAACCCAGUGAAUCCGGAUAACGCUUGCACCCUCCGUAUUACCGCGGCUGCUGGCAC
RNAcentral lists this ribosomal RNA (292 nucleotides) under uncultured Bacteroidota bacterium. RNAcentral's name for it is "uncultured Bacteroidetes bacterium partial 16S ribosomal RNA". Lineage: Bacteria; Pseudomonadati; Bacteroidota. The record is from RNAcentral.